CCGUGUGGUGGAGCGCUUGCUUUCCUAUAGCUUGUCCUAUUCUGGGAAGUUGUGGAGCCCAUGUGAGGCGGGCUUAUCUGGAGGAACUGUACCACUUGGGGAUGGAGACCUGUCCAUACAGUGUCACCAGACACCUAACAACCCAGCUGCCUAAGCAACAGAUGCUCCCACUCCCGGGACUCCUGUGCCUCUUCAGAGCCUACAGGAGUCCACACAAAGCCUUCCUCCCUGCGGGUGCUAUUUGUCAGAGAUUUGGUCACAGCCAUGAGGAAAAGUCACUGUUACAGUGGUUGUGGGACAGAAGUGAGAAAAGCCACGGUGGGUUGUGCCAAGCCAUGAUUGGUCCAUUUCUUGUGACCUCACAAGGAGCCAAUUCUGAGGAAUGCUGAGCACGAGUCCACAUAAGGUGCCACCUGGGCAGGGCCUGUCCUCUUAUUGCAGAGACACUGCUGGUUGGCUGCAGAGCAGGAUUGUAAUGUUGGCUAUGAUGGGCUUGGGCAACUCCAAACUGCUGACCCUUGACAGAGAAUUUGUCUCCUAGCUUGUUGGUUUUGUUUUCUGGUUUUAGUUUUCAUGGUUCACUUUUCUGUUUAUAUUAUUGGUUCCUGUUUUAAGAUUAAUUUGUGCCUAUUUUUCUUCAUUAUUACCCAUUCUCAUUUUUGAAACUCAAAUUUUGUUAUUUUUUAUUUCAUUUUUCUUAUUUUAAAACACCUUUUAGUAUAUAUUAGCCAUAAGGAAUUUCAUUAUAACAUUUCCAUACCUGACAACACUACACUAUGAUCACGCCUCCUGCUCUGCUUCAUGUCCCCAGUCACAUCUGUGCCACUGACACCCCCCCUUUUACUGAACUAGAACCCACUCCCUGCUUAUGACCCAUAGAACAAAACAGAAACAUUACACAUUGAUGGGACUGUUUCAUGUCAAACUGUUUCUAGAUUCAUCUACUUUCCUGAAAAUGGCAACAGCUCAUCCCUCAUUGUGGCUGAGCAGGGGACUCCUCCCCAAGUCUGUUUAUAAGCUAUGUUGCCAGUCAGUUUGUGUACAUGUACUUAUCCUUGUAAUCCUGGGAGAAGCCAUUUGGAUGGUGAAGGGAGGUUUUAGUGUGUUGUUGAAUUGGAUGUGAGGUAUCAAGUGCUCUCAUUAAUGAUAUUCACAUCUUUGUCCAAGGAAAUUGGCCUAUUCGGGUUUAUGUGCUUAUUUGAUUUUGGGAGCAGGGUAAUACUAGCUUUGUGAUGGGUUUGAGGGUGUUCUUUACUGUCUCUUUUAUGAGAUAUUUUCAGGACCAUUGGCGAUCAUUCUUCUCUAAGGUCUGGUAGAUUCAGUGAAUCCAGGACUCCUGGGCUCUUCUUUGUUGGAAGCUAUUUUUAUUACUAGUUUAUUGUUGCUGCUUAUUAUUGACCUGUUCAAGUCUUUUGAUUUCAUAUUAUUUCAAUAUCCACAUAAGUCUAGCAAUUUCUUUCAUGUUUUCUAACUUAACAGUAUAAAAACCUCAAAAUAUUAAUGAUCGUUUGUGUCUAGUGAAACAUCACUUUUUGCCUCUAAUUUGUGUCUUAUCUUUCUUGGUUAAUUUGGGUAAGGGUUUGCCAGUUUUGUUUGUCCUUGCAAAUAAGCACCUUUUUGUUUUUCUGUCUCUGUGUUGCCCUUUGAAUAUCCAUUUCAUUGAUUCCAUCUCUGCUCUUCACUAUGCUUUUUCAUCUAUUGCUGUGGGGUUUGCAUUGUUCUUAUUUUCUAUGACCUUGAGGUGCAUCAUUAGGUUGUUUGGAGUAUCUCAGAUUUUAUGCUGUAGAAUUCAUAACUAUAAACUUCUAACCUGCUUUCUAUUUCUUCCUAGCAUCAUGUGGUACUACUGUUUCUCAUAAUAAAGUGGUUGAGAUGGAGGCAAUCCUCAUGGCCAGCCCCAUGAAGAGGGCAUCCUUCAAAAUGAUUACAAAAUCUACUGUCCCUGGGCUGUGGCACAUUUUGGAAGGCAAAGCUGGUGUGCCACAUUCUCACACAUACACAUAACUGUCGAGGCCCUUGAAAAAAGCAACAAUGACUUGUUGAAGCAGAAUUCAUAAAUCCUUAGAACAUUAUAAAAAUUUUUAUAUGAUCAAUAUACCAUUAACCACUUAUAUGACAAUGGAAUGUGUGGUGGGAGAAGACCCAGAGAGGUACCUUAGGGAGCUGGGCUGUAUACAAGGGAGGCACUACAAAUUUUCCAACAGGUCAUGUCAGUGGUUCACUUCCUCCACCAAAGACACAUCCACAGGAAUAUCAAAUUAGGAAAACAUUCUGGUGGAUGCAGUAGGAAAUGCAGAAAUUUGCCACUUCAGCAUGGCAGCUAAAUCCACAAAGGGCAGAUGUUGGGGAAGGUCUGUAGCUUCCUGCUCUACCUGGCCCCAGAUAUCUUGGCAGGAAAACUGUGUAACAGUGCAGCUGAUGUGGAGCUUGGGCAUCCUUUUCUGUGUCAUAGAGCACUUUCCAUACUUAGAAACAAGUCCUUCAGGUAUACACCAGCUCAUCACCAACACAAUGUAUUAUCUUCCCUGUCAUCUGUCCCAAACCAACCAAAUUAUUAUCGAAAGAUUAUAUUGGUACAUGAUAGUAGGUCAUCUCAUGGAACACCUAACAUGCCUAACACCCAGGGCUGCCUUGAGAAGAUGUCCUGCCUGGGUACCACAGACAUGGAAGGCAAUGUGACGACUGUUGACAUCAAUAGCAAUUUUCUGAGGGGCAUUGCAGUUACCAAGGCUUUGAGUGAUACUCUACCUGAUGAGCACUUCCCACCAGAGUCAGCCCCGGAUGCAACAACCACAGAGUUAAAUGAAAAAAAAAAAACAAAAACAAAAACAAAAAAAACAAGAGCUUGUGCCCUGUGGAAUCAUCAACAGGGCCAGCCAUGCCCAGUGACCAGGCUCAGGUUGAAUCUACAGGCUCUGGAUCCAAGUAACUAGGGCUGGAAGGGGACGAGGAGUCGAAUUUCUUGAGUAUGGAGAAGACUUUGCUGCUGCUGCCUGCCCACCCAAAGCUCCCUGCUCGCUCAGCCCAGCACUGCUUGCAACACAGAUAGGAGGUCUCACGUGACAUCUGCCUGAUGAAGGUCCACCUCCCCAGCUCCUGCAGAACACCUACUCCUGGAAGCAAAACUGACUGACAUACAGGUCUCGAGCUUCUCAUCUGCUUGGUCCCUUCAUCCCUUCGAUAUUCUCUCUCACUAACUCCUUUGGGACAGAAAUGGAUAAUCUAAGUACCUUCCAUGGCAGAUCCUGAUAUGCCAAAAAAGCGUGGGGCCAGAGGGCCAGAGUGGAAAGCCCGAUGACAGACCAGAUAGAUGGUUUUCCCCUCACCAAACCUCAAAGCCAGUUAGUGGCACCUUUCCCUCUGAGUCGGGGAGGCCUGCCAAAACCACUGUUCCCUUUUACUCACCCGGGCUAGUGUUAUGUCAAGACCAGACUUCAGAAACUCAUCUUUUACCACAAGCAGAUACUCAGUGGACUCAAAAUUACCGCCAAGUGCAAGAUGCCCUCAGAUGCUCCAGAAAACCUCCCUGAAGCAGCUCAGACUUGUCCCUUCAUGACCAGCACAGGAUGAUGUGAGAAGCCUCUAGAGUUUGAUUUUCUUCCCUGAAGAUCCUUUCUUGUGGUGCUGCUCUUAUAGAGAAGCCAAAUUUGAUUCUUGGAAAUCAGAUUUGAAAUGUGUCUGUCAAGGAGUAGCACUUGGCUUUAUGCUGCUAAGAGUGUGCCCCAUCCUGCACAUCCUCAUCCAGAAUGUGGAAUUACCUUCAGAGCCUCUGGAAAGGAGUCAUCAUGACUUUGACCCUGAAUGGGAAGGGCAGAAGGAUGCUAGAAUUGAGUUUAAGAUGCACAAAGGUCUAGGUUCUUCAGUUCCUGGUUUAAAAGCUAGACAAGCUCAGUCAUUAUGGAGAGGGACCCACUUCUGCUGAGUGGCUGCGUCAACAAGCACCGUGGCAGCAAGUGAAUCCUCUGAAAAUUAAGUUCGCACCGAAAGACAAGAUGGCCCAUUUGCAGACACAGAUGGGCAGUGUUCGUCCUCAGGGUUGGAAGGCGGCCCCACAUCGGCUAGAUGGCCUUCUGUACUAAGCACCAGUCCCAGGCCCACCAGAACCAGGUGGUAUUCCCAAUCUGCCCACAGCCCACGCAAGCCCAGACACAAGAAAUUAGCCAUCAUAAUAUUCUAUAUUUUUCUCUGGUGGUUUUGUGUCUUUAAGAAAUAUGUUUUUUUAAUCUGUAUACCUCAGAAAUUAUCAAGUAUCUUUACGUUAAAAUAGGAAACUAGAUCGUGUAUUUUUUCCCCACUGUUGUGUUUUUGUUUCAUGUAACUAUUAUGAUCCUCACAUAACUGUGAAUCACUGAAAUAGAUAAUAAAACUUCAUGGAGAACUUGUGA
Long non-coding RNA from Peromyscus leucopus (white-footed mouse), 4385 nucleotides. RefSeq lists it as uncharacterized. NCBI's taxonomy places the organism in Eukaryota, Metazoa, Chordata, Mammalia, Rodentia, Cricetidae. The transcript has 5 exons. The record is from RefSeq and is a predicted model, not a curated record.